This 4025-nucleotide long non-coding RNA is filed under the name Homo sapiens (human). Its description in RNAcentral is "non-protein coding lnc-UNCX-3:2". The record is from RNAcentral. Lineage: Eukaryota; Metazoa; Chordata; Mammalia; Primates; Hominidae.
CGCCAGGCCGCGGCCCAGUGGCGCCGGCGCACACCGAAGACGACACCAGCCAUCCGGCCAAUCCCGCCCCGCCGCGCCCCGCAGGCCCGCCCACUCCUCGCUUCUCCACUUCCCUUCUCGAAGUGUCCGGUCGCUUCUCGCAGGCGGCGCGCUUGCUGGGUCACAGUGAGGCGGCUCCGCGCAGGCGCAGCCGGGCGGGCGAGGAGCGGGGAAGCUGACUCAGGGCUGCGGCCGGGGUCCUGCGGGGUAGGAGCGCGAGGCCGGCCUGAGGGAGGAGGCCUAGCGACCCAUCCGGCGCCUCCCGCCCCGGGCACCCGCCCGCGGCCGCGCAUCCUGCGGGCCCCAGGAGGCCUCCAUCUCAAAACAACGUGUUUUUAGUGUUGACUCACCUGUGGAGUGGUCUGAGCCUGAAUGCCCGGGGCUGUGGCCACCGAGUGAACGGGCUGUGCUAAGGGGAAUUGCCACCUUGGGAAACCUGUGUAGUUGCGGCUUUUCUGAUUAAGUAUCAAUAAAAGUCUGACCUUGUGAAAAAAGCAAACGUGAGUGGCCCUGCUUAUGUUUCACCUUGCGUUGCUCAGUGAUAGUUCUGCAAAGUCGCAGGAAACCUGGAAUCAUCUAAUUAUCGUGAGUGUUGGUGAGUAACACCCAUAGGCACUGGCUCCCGGGGAAAUACAGAGUCAGGUUCCUCCGAGCCGCUGGCCACAGCAUUUUUGUUAAGCAGUUCAUCGUUAACCUUGUUGUACAUGUCUCUCUCUCAAGGUUCCUUAUUUAAUAAUGUCUAGUUGAUUCAUUAACAUGGAAUUCAUGGCCAGUACCUCUGUCACUCAUGCCUGACUGAAGUUGAUCAGCACGUCUUUUUCUCCCUUAGGCACAUGACAGCCUUCUUGCAAUCAAGAAACUACGUGUGGCCAGGAUCUCAUCCACUAUCACAGUUUCAGCUUUCCCCAAACUGGAAUGUGUCUUUGCAGACGCCCAUCCUUAUUAAAGGGCAAAGACUUCUCAUACACCUAGGAUGGAUCUUAUAUUCUUGGCGGGACUGCAGAGAAGGUGCCGUGUCCUGAGUCCUCAUGUCAGGGCACAGGCUUCCAGCCAGUUCUACCUGGGUUAUGUUUAUCUCAAUUCCCUGGUGGUAUUGGUGUCUGCUGGGUUUUGCCAGAAUGAAGACACCGUGUUUUCAUUUGUCAGUUGAUUCGUAUUUUCCAGGAAGACAUUCUGAGAUUACAGCAUUGUCUUAGUCAAGGUGCUGCAGAAGGACAGAACUAAUAGGAUAUAUGUACAUAUGAAAGAAAGUUUAUGAAGAACUGGCUCACACCAUCACAAGGCAAAGUCCCAUGACAGGCCAUCUGCAAGCUGAGGAGCGAGGAAGCCAGCAGUGGCUCAGCCGGAGUCCAACAGCCUCAAACGGAAUCCAACAGUUCAGGCUUCAGUCUGUGGCCAAAUGCCCAGAGACCCCGGAAAGCUACUGGUGUUAGUCCCAGAGCCGGAAGGCCAAAGAACCUGGAGUGUGAUGUCCAAGGGCAGGAGGAAUGGACAGAAGCAUCCAGCAUGGGGUAAAGACGAAAGCCAGAAGACUCAGCAAGCUAGCUUACCUACUUUCUUCUGCCUGCCUUGUUCUAGCCGCGCUGGCAGCCGGUUGGAGGGUGCCCACCCCCACUGAGGGUGGAUCUUCCUCUCCUAGUCCACUGACUCAAAUUUCAGUCUCUCUGGGAGCACCAUCACACCAGAAACAAUACCAGCCAUCUAGCCACCCUUCAGUUCACCAUCACAACCAUUGUCUUAUUCAUGAAACUUCUGCAGACCCACCUUAACCUCCAUCGGUGACUUCUACCUGAAGCCCUCUGAUUGUUGCCCAGUGGUGCUUUUUAAAAUAAUUUCCAUAGUUUCUUCUACACCUUUAGUUGGCAUUCUACUGUAAAGGAGAGAUUUUAUUUUCUUACUCAUUUAUUUGUUAGUUUAUAGUCACCACCAUAUGGAUGCAGAGUUCUGUCUCAUUCACUGGGAAGUAUUCUAUUGCAGUCAUGAUUUAUUUUGAUGUUCACAUCCCAGAGUUGGUGAGUGAGCGCCCCUUCACGCUGGCUCCCGAGUGCUGACGUGUCCCCGUCCUUCUCUGCACUUUUCCUUACCUCCUGGCCUCAGAUAUUCCAGGGUCAUUUGUUCUCUCCCUGCUCCAACCCUGCAGUCAGCCAUCUCCCUAGGGACGUUGGUUCCUUUAUGGAAGGUGGCAUUUAGAAGCCAGGAUUUGGGCUGAGCACUGUGGCUCAUGCUUGUAAUCCCAGCACUUGGGGAGGCCGAAGUGGGCGGAUCGCUGGAGGCCAAGAGUCUGAGACCAGCCUGGCUAACAUGGUGAAACCCUUCCCCGUCUCUACUACAAAUAAAAAAUUAGCUGGGUGUGUUGGCACGUGCCUGUAAUCCCAGUUACUCAGGAGGCUGAAGCACCAGAAUCUCUUGAACCCAGGAGGCCGAGGUUGCAGUGAGCCAAGAUUGCACCACUGCACUACAGCUUGGGUGACAGCGCGAGACACCGUCUCAAAAAGGAUAAUAAUUUAAAAAACAGCAGGAUUUGGGUGAGCAGUGCGCUCAUUGCUUCUGGGCUCUCUCGGUGGACAUAGGCUAGGAAUGUAAGAUGUAUGUGCCUGUGUAUAUACACACGUCUGUAGCUAUGUCUAUGUUGCAUACAUGUGUUUUUCCAAAAACCAAAUCCAUAACCAUGCCUUCAGUUUCAGCCCAACACCUCCGGGCUCUUUCUAGCUUUCUACCUUUCAUGAUUGUGAAUACCUUCUCCAGCAGUGAGAAACCUGGCUCCUUUGUCCUCAGUGGAUUUUCUUAUUUGCUCAAUUUUUUUGUUUUUUGUUUUGUUUUUGUUUUUGAGACAGAGUCUUGUUCUGUCACCCAAGCUGGAGUGCAGUGGCAUAAUCUCGGCUUACCGCAACCUCUGCCUCCUGGGUUCAAGCGAUACUCCUGCGUCAGCAUCCCGAGUAGCUGGGAUUACAGGCAUGUGCCACCAUGCCUGGCUAAUUUUUGUAUUUUUAGUAGAAACGGAGUUUCACCAUGUUGGUCAGGCUGGUCUCGAACUCCUGACCUCGUGAUCUGGGUGCCUUGGCCUCCCAAAAUGCUGGGAUUACAGGCGUGAGCCACCACACUCGGCCAAGUCAGAAUUUUAAGUUUCAUCUUUUUUGUAAUUAAUUGAACACCUGCAUUCAAAGAAACAGAGAAGUACCACCACGCAUAAGUAAGGUGGCCAUGGCGUACCUAGGUUUCUCAGCCUAUCAAGCUUAGGGGCUUCUUUUUACGUGAAGUCCUCCUAAGACAGCCUCUGAUAGCUGCCUUGUGGUCAGCAGGGAAGAAGGGCCUUGUAAUAGCACGACUCUGCAGGGAGGCGGGCAGCUCUCAUGGCCUUAGUUUGCAGACCUCGAGAUGUCCACUAGAAAGGAGGAGAUCGUGGCUGGCUGCGGUGGCUCACGCCUGUAAUCCCAGGAUUUUGGGAGGCCGAGGCAGGCGGAUCACGGGAUCAGGAGAUCGAGACCAUCCUGGCUAAUGUGGUGAAACCCCGUCUCUACUAAAAAUACAAAAACUUAGCCGGGCGUGGUGGCGGGCGCCUGAGUCCCAGCCACUCGGGAGGCUGAGGCAGGAGAAUGGCGUGAACCCGGGAGGCAGAGCUUGCAGUGAGCCGAGAAUUGCGCCACUGCACUCCAGCCUGGGCGACAGAGCGAGACUUCGUCUCAAAAAAAAAAAAAAAAAAAAAAGAGGAGGUCGCAGCGUCUCCAGUAACACAUCAACUCCGCAACAAGGGGCCACAAGUGUUCCUCGCCAACGGGUCCCUGCUACGAUCCCUAUUUUAAAUAAGGGGAAACUGAGGCGUGGAGGGGGUAAGAAACAGAGAAGUCAGAAUUCAAACCUGGACGACGCCUGUUAGUUUUUUGGGAUUACAGGGGUAAGCCACUGUGCCCGGCCACACGUGUUAGUUUUUUGGGAUUACAGGGGUAAGCCACUGUGCCCGGCCAUGCCUGUUAGUUUUGUAACUCCAG